This 371-nucleotide long non-coding RNA is filed under the name Lathyrus oleraceus (garden pea). RNAcentral describes it as "Pisum sativum (pea) long non-coding RNA (PSAT_LNC021235)". Lineage: Eukaryota; Viridiplantae; Streptophyta; Magnoliopsida; Fabales; Fabaceae. The record is from RNAcentral.
GAAAAUGGAGGUAAACCAAAUCAAAUUCAUUAGAUAAAGCCAACCCAUAAUAGGUGAUUACAUCAAAGCAACAGAAAUUAAAAACUGAAUAAAUAAAAAAAAACACAAAAAUUACACAGAGAAAACCAAAAGUACAAAAAAAAUAAUCAAAGUCAAUCACCCAGUCCACCGUCCUGCAUAUGGGUAUCAAAGUCAAUCUCAUCUGUCGGAUCCAACAUAGUGUGCCCUCGUGCGAAGGCAGAGAUAGGCGUCAACGUCUCUGUGUGGCCCGACGGAGUAUGCUGCUGCUGAGGUGGUGUCUGGUGCGGUGGCUGCUGCGGUGGCUGCUGCGGAAUCUCUCCCCCUAUCUGAACUGGCUGGUUCCACCAAGG